AUAUCAGUCAUGCAUAGCAUAUCAAUAAGCGGAGGAAAAGAAACUAACAAGGAUUCCCUUAGUAACGGCGAGUGAAGCGGGAAGAGCUCAAAUUUGAAAUCUUCAAGGUUUUACCUUGACGAAUUGUAGUUUAAAGAAGUGUUUUCUGUUGAAGUUUUGGUAAAAGUUCUUUGGAAUAGGACAUCAUAGAGGGUGAGAAUCCCGUAUUUGACCAUUACUUUCAGCUUUGUGAUACACUUUCAAAGAGUCGGAUUGUUUGGGAAUGCAGUCCAAAAUGGGUGGUAAAUUUCAUCUAAAGCUAAAUAUUGGCGAGAGACCGAUAGCGAACAAGUACCGUGAGGGAAAGAUGAAAAGAACUUUGAAAAGAGAGUUAAACAGUACGUGAAAUUGUCAAAAGGGAAGCGUUUGACACCAGUGUUGUCUUCUCGAAAAUCAAUUAAAAAGAGUUGGAUUUUGUGUUGUAUUGACUUUAUCGGCUUUCUUCACUCUUUUCCAGCUUUUUUUAAUGCACUUUUCGUUUAACAAGUCAACAUCAGUUUCUUUUGUUGUAAAAAGGUCAUUGGAAGGUGGCUUUCUCUUCGGAGAAAGUGUUUAUAGCCUUUGACUCAUGCAAUCGGAGAGAUCUGAGGUCUGCAGCGUAGAUCCUUCGGGGUUAGAUACAUUUGUGCUAAGUUAUAGCUUUUCAUAGACAACUUGUUGACUAUGUUUAGUCUUGUAGCUUACUCGCUUAUGCUAUUUUACCUACGCUUAGGAUGUUGAACUCUAUCACACACAG
Molecule: ribosomal RNA, 775 nt
Filed under: uncultured Neocallimastigales
Lineage: Eukaryota; Fungi; Neocallimastigomycota; Neocallimastigomycetes; Neocallimastigales
Description: partial large subunit ribosomal RNA
Rfam family: Eukaryotic large subunit ribosomal RNA
Source: RNAcentral